Molecule: non-coding RNA, 402 nt
Organism: Onychomys torridus (southern grasshopper mouse)
Lineage: Eukaryota; Metazoa; Chordata; Mammalia; Rodentia; Cricetidae
Source: the annotation of a RefSeq genome assembly
AUGGCUUGGACUCCUCUCAGCUUCAUGAUUCUAUCUUUCUUUGCAGGUUCCUUUUCUCAGUCUAUACUGAAACAACCGCCGUCCAUCUUUGAGGCUCUUAGACCAACAGCCCGACUCACCUGUACUCUGAAGAGUGGCAUCAGUGUUGGCAGUAAAAACAUUUACUGGUACAAGCAGAUGCAGGGGAGCCCUCCUCAGUUUUUUCUGUACUACUACUCAGACUCAGACAAGAAGCUGGGACCUGGAGUCAUCGAUAGAGUCUCUGGAUCCAAAGAUACCUCCAAAAAUGCUGCAAAUUUGCACAUCUCUGAGCGACAAGCAGAUGUUGAGGCUGACGAUUACUGUUCCAUCUGGGAAAAUAGUGUGUCUCACAGUGAUACAGGAAGAUGGGGAGGUAGGUAA